UACGGAGGGUGCGAGCGUUAAUCGGAAUUACUGGGCGUAAAGCGCGCGUAGGCGGCUUUUCAAGUCGAUUGUGAAAUCCCCGGGCUUAACCUGGGAACUGCAGUCGAGACUGUCUAGCUAGAGUAUGGGAGAGGGAAGUGGAAUUUCAGGUGUAGCGGUGAACUGCGUAGAUAUCUGAAGGAACAUCAGUGGCGAAAGCGACUUCCUGGACCAAUACUGACGCUCAUGUGCGAAAGCGUGGGGAGCAAACAGG
Molecule: ribosomal RNA, 253 nt
Filed under: uncultured bacterium
Lineage: Bacteria
Description: partial 16S ribosomal RNA
Rfam family: Bacterial small subunit ribosomal RNA
Source: RNAcentral